AUUGAACGCUGGCGGCAGGCCUAACACAUGCAAGUCGAGCGGAUGAAGGGAGCUUGCUCCUGGAUUCAGCGGCGGACGGGUGAGUAAUGCCUAGGAAUCUGCCUGGUAGUGGGGGAUAACGUCCGGAAACGGCGCUAAUACCGCAUACGUCCUGAGGGAGCAAGUGGGGGAUCUUCGGACCUCACGCUAUCAGAUGAGCCUAGGUCGGAUUAGCUAGUUGGUGGGGUAAAGGCCUACCAAGGCGACGAUCCGUAACUGGUCUGAGAGGAUGAUCAGUCACACUGGAACUGAGACACGGUCCAGACUCCUACGGGAGGCAGCAGUGGGGAAUAUUGGACAAUGGGCGAAAGCCUGAUCCAGCCAUGCCGCGUGUGUGAAGAAGGUCUUCGGAUUGUAAAGCACUUUAAGUUGGGAGGAAGGGCAGUAAGUUAAUACCUUGCUGUUUUGACGUUACCAACAGAAUAAGCACCGGCUAACUUCGUG
Molecule: ribosomal RNA, 483 nt
Filed under: uncultured bacterium
Lineage: Bacteria
Description: partial 16S ribosomal RNA
Rfam family: Bacterial small subunit ribosomal RNA
Source: RNAcentral